CUGCAGUGACAUCUACUGAGAGAGAAGAGGGAGAAGUGGAAGAAAAGGAGAAGAACUUGCAAAUGGAGGAGAAAGAGGAGAAAGGGGGAGCAGAGCUACCGGCAACAUCCACGAGGAGGAAAGCACAGAAAAUUGCAGCAAACACGAACUGUUCAGAAUACUGUAUCCGGGGAUAUUGACAGAACGUUGAACAGAAGUCCACCCUAUGCAGACGGGUCCUAGGUGAGGAACCAGACCAAGUGCAGCCCAAAGAUCCCUUAAGAUGAAUACGACCACUGGAACAGUGGACGUACAUGAGGUCCCACCCUGGAGCCAGGCCUGGGACCCGUUGGGGAGCCCCUUGGAUAACUUAUUUUCUCUGAAUAAAUGAAGAUUAACAAAAUGAGGCAA
Poecilia reticulata (guppy) is the source of this 390-nucleotide long non-coding RNA. RefSeq lists it as uncharacterized. Lineage: Eukaryota; Metazoa; Chordata; Actinopteri; Cyprinodontiformes; Poeciliidae. The record is from RefSeq and is a predicted model, not a curated record.